Molecule: ribosomal RNA, 492 nt
Filed under: uncultured bacterium
Lineage: Bacteria
Description: partial 16S ribosomal RNA
Rfam family: Bacterial small subunit ribosomal RNA
Source: RNAcentral
GAUGAACGCUAGCUACAGGCUUAACACAUGCAAGUCGAGGGGAAACGGCAUCGAAAGCUUGCUUUUGAUGGGCGUCGACCGGCGCACGGGUGAGUAACGCGUAUCCAACCUGCCCAUCACUUGGGAAUAACCUUGUGAAAGUAAGACUAAUGCCCAAUGACAUCCCACGAAGGCAUCCGAAUGGGAUUAAAGAUUUAUCGGUGAUGGAUGGGGAUGCGUCUGAUUAGCUUGUUGGCGGGGUGACGGCCCACCAAGGCAACGAUCAGUAGGGGUUCUGAGAGGAAGGUCCCCCACAUUGGAACUGAGACACGGUCCAAACUCCUACGGGAGGCAGCAGUGAGGAAUAGUGGUCAAUGGGCGAGAGCCUGAACCAGCCAAGUAGCGUGCAGGAUGACGGCCCUAUGGGUUGUAAACUGCUUUUAUAAGGGAAUAAAGUGGGUCACGUGUGACUUUUUGCAUGUACCUUAUGAAUAAGGACCGGCUAAUUCCGUG